Hyla sarda is the source of this 1268-nucleotide long non-coding RNA. RefSeq lists it as uncharacterized. The record is from RefSeq and is a predicted model, not a curated record. Lineage: Eukaryota; Metazoa; Chordata; Amphibia; Anura; Hylidae. The transcript has 3 exons.
CCAUAUGUCAGCCAUUAACAGUCAGCAGCUAGGACCUGUGAUCUAGGAAGCAAAUGCAGCUCCUGUGCUCGCUUCAUAGUCUGGAUGCACUAAGUACUAGGCAUCCAGAAUGUACAGGAUCCAUUGGAGUUGCUAGGGGGCCUGGCUUAUCACGAAAAGGCGCAGUGAUGCCACAGGAUCAAGCCCGGGGCCAUCACAGGAGCAAGGAUACGUCAGCCAAUAGGAGCGACCUGGCAGUCAGAAGAGGAUGGAGGAAGAUUGCGCAUCAGUGAGCAAGUUAUCGGUGCCUAAAACAAGCCAGGUGGACUAUGCUCCUCUCAGAGUCGCGCUGGAGGCUCGGUGUCCCGGAGGCUCGGUGUCCUGCAGCCUCGUGGAUGAUGGAACUCCCCAUGACAGGAAUUGAGCACAGCGCUCUCCGGAUCAAUACUCACAGCACAUGCAGGAGUCGGCUUAAACAUGACUGCUGGGAUCUAUGGUCCUCCAACUUGUGUAUACAAGUUAAUAAAUGAUUCCAACAGCUUGCCUUUUCUUCUGAGUAUGGAAAAAGAGAAGGAGCACCAUUGGGCUUUUGGACAGAGAUUUUGGCUUGAAUUUAAGUUGGAGUCCAUGUGCGUUUGCAAAGCCCCCAUGGUGCCAGAACAGUGGACCCCCACAUGUAACCCCAUUUUGGAUACUACACCCCUUACGGAAUGUAAUACAACUCCCAACAUGACCAGACAGCCAAAGGGCAUGCUGUGAGUUGUAGUUAUGCAACAGCUUGAUGCACACCACUACAAGUCCCAGCAUGCCAUUUGGCUGUCCAUGCAUGCUGGGAGUUGUAGUUAUGCAACAGCCAGAGAGAACAAGUACCUACAGCUGUUGCAUAACUACAACUCCCAGAACACCCUUUGGCUGUGCAUGCUGGGAGUUGUACCUAUGCAGCAGCAGGAGGCACCCAGUCCUUACCUUCUGCUUCUGCCUCGAGGUCCCACCACGCUCCUCGCCACCACUGCUGCCACCAGUCCUCGAUCCCCUCUUCGCCGCCGCCCUCAGGUACCCAAGCCCUGAUGUACACCCUCUCUGCCGCAAUUGGUUGGCCGACCACUGCCACCUCAAUCCUGCUGGGCAUGGGUGAUUGGUGCUGUCUCUGACAGCACCAAUCACACAAAUUUUCCAGGCCAUCGGAAGUUUUCCACCGGAGUGCCCCUUUAACCCCUACAGGACCCAUGACGUACCGGUAUGUCAUGAGUCCACUCCCGCUCUAUAACGCGGGGGCCACGGCGUGGCCC